AAGAGUUAAAAGUAUAACGUUAUAACAACAAAUUUCAUUGAAAAAAAAAAUAAUAUACUAAUACAAAAUAAUAAAUCAAGUUAUUAAAACUAGGUAUAAGAAAAUAAUUUCGUAAUAUAAAAAUAUGCUAAGGAGUUGAUAUUACUUUGUAUAUUGUAACGAGAUCGAUGUCUUGCCCUUUUUCUGUUGCUUUGUAGUUAUAUUUUUAUUGUUUUAUAGUUGUUUUCGUAUAGUUAAAGUGUUAUAUAAUUAUUUUUUAACUGUCUUAGAUUUUUAUUUUUAUUUUAUUGAAACAAUAUUUUUAUAAUUUUAAAGCUUUUAAAAACUUUAUAACAAAAAAAAUAAAGGUAUUUUUAUAAGUACCCCUCAUAAUUACAAAUAGAAGGCUGGGACAGUCAGGGAAAGAGGAAAUUACAUUCUAUACCCGCUUUUUGUUUCGUAUUUUAUUUUUUACCUUCAUUUUACUACUCUUUAAUUUAUACCCACUUUUAUAAGUUAUAUUCCCAUUAUGUACAUUAAGAAGUCUAAUUUUGAUUAGUUUUGUGAGGUUAUAUUUAGUACUUUGAUUAUAAAAGAGAGUAUUUAUCAAUUAAAAUUAUUUUAGAGUUAUAUUUGAUUAAUGUGUAAUAAAAAGAGGUAGUUUUCAACUUAUCCCUCAGGGAAUCUAUGUUCAUGACCAAAUUAUGGGCUUAUGAAAGUUGGCCCAUGUUUGAUCCAAACAUAGCUCAGGCCAUGUUAAAGCCCAUAGUCCGAGUCUGAGAUUAGAGAAGAGAAAAGAGCAAAGAGUGAAACCCUAACCCUAAUAAAAGCAGAGUCGAAGGCCAUCUAUAAAAAGAACCACCAGGCGAAGCUACCAUUGUGGCUCUCUUCUCUUCUUCCGCCUUCUUUCAUUUUGUGUCCUCUCUCUCAGAUGACGAGUCCGAUAUCCAUUCAUAAAAUCGUGACGACAAUCGAGGCAUUUGUCUGAGAGGAAAUCUCUUAUCUUUCUAUUGUUUUUUGUUUUUGUUAUACAUGCUUAUAUAUAUUGGGGAUGAAGGGGAUUAUCUCAUUGAUGAUCAACACAGAUGACGAGUCUGAUAUCCAUUCUUAAAAAUCAUGAGGACAAUCGAGGCAUUUGUCUGAGAGGAAAUCUCUUCUUCCUCAAUAUAUCAUUUUGUUUUCAUUAAAUUAGGGUUUAUCUUUGCAUAGUAUAUUAGAGAAAUGUCAGGCAUAAUGAUGAAAUGUUUUUCUGAUUACUUUGAUGAACACAAACCUCCUACUCAUUCUGAAUGCCUGAUCUUGUUUUAGAUUUUUGUUUCAAAAUUUAUGUAUUUUGGGUUUGAUUUUGAAUUUAUUUGAAUUAAUGGUGGAUAGAGAAGAAGAAAAGGAAAGUGUAGCAAUGAUGAUAAAACAGAUUCAACUGUACACUGAGAAGCAUCAAUGAUUUUGUUUCAAGCACUUUUGAGCUGCUUCUCCUUUUCUCUCUAUCUUAUCCUAAUUCUAGUUACAUUUUUGGAUUGAAGAUUUAUUUUGUUUUUGUUUCGUAAAAUUUUUUUGUGUAUAAUUUGACAUUGGCUGUUUUAAUUUCUUGUAAAUUUGAAUUUUAGAUAUGGCGAGGAUGACAAAUUUCAUUUCUCGAUCCUGAAAUUGUAUAUUUUGACAAAUAUACAUAAACAAGUGGCAAAGUAUACGUACUUUGCUCUUUGAUGACA
Cannabis sativa is the source of this 1691-nucleotide long non-coding RNA. RefSeq lists it as uncharacterized. The transcript is spliced from 2 exons. The record is from RefSeq and is a predicted model, not a curated record. NCBI's taxonomy places the organism in Eukaryota, Viridiplantae, Streptophyta, Magnoliopsida, Rosales, Cannabaceae.